This 253-nucleotide ribosomal RNA is filed under the name uncultured bacterium. RNAcentral's name for it is "partial 16S ribosomal RNA". It matches the Rfam family "Bacterial small subunit ribosomal RNA", at positions 524 to 776 of the family's 1533-position model. The record is from RNAcentral.
GACGAGCCACACGAACGUUAUUCGGAAUUACUGGGCUUAAAGGGUGCGUAGGCGGCCGGGUAAGUCUGAUGUGAAAUCCCGCAGCUUAACUGCGGAACUGCAUCGGAUACUCUCCGGCUAGAGGAAUGGAGGGGAGACUGGAAUUCUCGGUGUAGCAGUGAAAUGCGUAGAUAUCGAGAGGAACACCAGUGGCGAAGGCGAGUUUCUGGACAUUUCCUAACGCUGAGGCACGAAAGCUAGGGGAGCAAACGGG